Molecule: ribosomal RNA, 396 nt
Filed under: uncultured bacterium
Lineage: Bacteria
Description: partial 16S ribosomal RNA
Rfam family: Bacterial small subunit ribosomal RNA
Source: RNAcentral
CCUACGGGAGGCAGCAGUGAGGAAUAUUGGUCAAUGGACGAGAGCCUGAACCAGCCAAGUCGCGUGAAGGAUGACUGUCCUAUGGGUUGUAAACUUCUUUUAUAUGGGAAUAAAAUGCUCCACGUGUGGGGUUUUGUAUGUACCAUAUGAAUAAGGAUCGGCUAACUCCGUGCCAGCAGCCGCGGUAAUACGGAGGAUCCGAGCGUUAUCCGGAUUUAUUGGGUUUAAAGGGUGCGUAGGUGGCUUGUUAAGUCAGUGGUGAAAGUUUGCGGCUCAACCGUAAAAGUGCAGUUGAAACUGGUAGGCUUGAGUACGGUAGAGGUAGGCGGAAUGCGUGGUGUAGCGGUGAAAUGCUUAGAUAUCACGAAGAACUCCGAUUGCGAAGGCAGCUUACUG